UCAGAGUUUAAAAUGGAAGAGUUCUAAGUUGGUCUCCCUUUUGUGGCCAUUAGGAAGCUGUGUAGUGACUAUCUGGGAAGUUCCUGUGACAUCUGAGUGAAUGCUACUGUAUGAAGGAUGAAUAGAAACAAGGUGACAAGCCAGGAAAUGAAAACAACCUAGAUGGCUAUCAACUGAUGAGUAGAAAAUGGAAAUGUGAUUCGUGGACACAAUGGAAUACCAUUCAGCUGUUUAGAAAACAUGAAAUUUGCAGACAGAUACACGACAGUUACUUUCUCCAACCCUUUGGCUUGUGUUACAAGAUUUGGCUCUAUUCUACUACAUUAAAAGAAAAUGCAGUUUUUCUCUAAUAAAAUUGUCCCGGAGCUAAGACAAAACAAAAGCCACCAAUAAAGAGUUCCACAGAGCAUCGGUUCCACAGGGACGUCUAAGGCUGCUGCGGAGCUGCGUGAGAGCAGAGUAGUGUUGAUAUCUUCCCCUCAACGGCCAGCCCUGUAUACCUGAGUCUGCCUCUCCUCCCACCUGCUUGUGUCAUUCUGCUGGUCCAUCUGUUUAUCUCUCCAUCACUGUAUUAUUUUAAAAUAUUAAAUAUUGCAUAAGGUUCCUCCUCA
Mesocricetus auratus (golden hamster) is the source of this 611-nucleotide long non-coding RNA. RefSeq lists it as uncharacterized. The transcript has 4 exons. The record is from RefSeq and is a predicted model, not a curated record. Lineage: Eukaryota; Metazoa; Chordata; Mammalia; Rodentia; Cricetidae.